CACGAGGCACGCGCCAGCGACUCGCCGCCGUUUGAGGAAGAGCUUGGGAUCAGGGCGACCCUCAAGCCGCACCAGGUGGAAGGGGUUUCCUGGCUAAUACGGAGGUACAAGCUCGGCGUCAACGUCGUCCUCGGUGAGACUGUAACCCUUUCAAUGUGUUUCGUUGCUCUUAAUGUGUUGGAAUGUGAAAGAAACUAUGGCUGUAUCCAUUUUUAUUUUGUUCCAUUUCCAAACAUUCUUUUGGGGAAAAAUAUAAAUUCAUUAUUCUUGUUGAGAUUGUAAGGUUUAAUCUCCAGUUUGAUGAGUUUGUCUGCAUUAAAAUUCUGAGAGUUUGAAAGAAAGUCUGGGUUAAUUUUGGUCCGGUCUGGCCUAAUUUGUGUGCAUACAUAAUAUUAUUACACACGUGAGCAGAUUUUCAAUUUGAUCCUAUAGUUAAACACUUAUUACAUUGAUUAUUGAAUUUCUUACAUAUUCUUCAUUUGAUCUCCUAUAGGCUUAUACAUGUUUUGGGCAUCCUUAUUCUGGUCUCUACAUGUAUGUUACAUUCUUAAUUUGAUCCCUAUGCAAGGAAAUAACAGUGGUAGGGGCCAAUCUAAUAAUACAUAGGGACUUAACUUUUACUUGUAGGGAUCAAAUUGAGAAUGUGACACUUAUACGGAUUAAAUUUUAUGUUAUAAUGUAUAAUCGUAAAAAAUAUGGAAAAUAACUAAAAAAUAUAAAAUUUAGUGUAAAGGUGUAUUUUUACCCCUUCAAAAUAUUGUAACAAGCAAGGCUAGCAAUAUAUUCUUUAAAAUAUAUUUUUGGAUGAAUUUUGUGUGGUCUCGUCCUUCUCUUUGUGGGAACUACAUGGACUUCAACUGACAGUAGAUAUUAUUGAAAAAAAAAUGUGCUGCCAACAUCUAGUAGGUAGUAACACAUGGCGUCAUGUUACUCUUACUUUUUUAAAUGCAUAAAAUUAGUCCUUUAAUGUCCAUUUAUAAUAUCUAAUUAGAUGGAAUAUUCUUUGAAUGGAUAAAACAAAUAUUUACUCUGAAAUUAUAGUUAUGGACUUUUUGUUUAUUCAUUAAUUUAAGAGUUUGAGUGAUAUCCAUAUGGUAUUCUCAGUGUUUGGUGAGGAGGAACUUUUCUCCGGGGAAUAUCAAUCAAACAUAUUGAUGUUUGGGUACAAUAAGCCAUGUUGUUGCUUAGUUGUUUCACAUUUCUUUGUAACAAUGGGGUGUCCUAGGGCAUGAGGUUCUGACUCGGUGGGUGGACAGGCAUAGUCUUAGCCUUGUAAGCCAGAGGCUGAUAUGAAGAUUUGAAACCUGUGACCAAGCUGCACAAGUCAGCAAUUGCGUCAAGUUUAACAUUUAAAUUUUUUAAUUCUUUGAAAAACUGAAGGCAAAAUAUCCAAUGUUGACAGAUGAUGUGGUUUUAUUUUUGUUAUUCUGUUUUGAAGAUUUUAGACCUAGCGGAUUUGAUAGUAUUUAUGAAGCAACAAUUUUUUAUUAGGUUAUGACUAGAAUUUUUCUAUUAUUUGCAGGGGAUGAGGUACACUCUCUUCAAUUCUGUUUCAGAGCUUGUGUAAACUGAAAGGACAAAUUUUGUAAUCUAAUUGGUAUUAUAGUCAUGAAAUUCAUCUUUUAAACUUGUUACUAUUAUGUUGGUUUAUUUUGGCAAGUGGACCAAUUUAAUUGAAGUUGACAGUUAGGAUUAGGGUUUUCGAAGCUCAUGUACAUGGCAAAUAUCUAUCUUUGGCAAAAGUUUAACUCUUGUCAAUUGUAUUUACAAUAAAAAACUGACUUGAAUCCAUUUCUUUGAAUUGAAAUUUACAAUGGUUCAAAAAUUCAACUUUGAAUCCUAGUGUUCCACAUAGCCUAUCUUAGUCAAGUUCUUUGGGACUAUUAUGCCACCAUUAUCAGACACUUGUUAGACGAUCCAUGAAUAUCUAAUCCCACACUCGAGAUGUUCAUUCCUCGACGUAAGGGGUGAUGUUGGAGAUCCCAUAUUGACUAAGAAUAAAACCAUAUUGUAAUAUAUAAGUGAGGUGCAAUUCUCACUUUACAAGCCAGUUUGGGGAGGUUGAGUUGAGUUAGGCAUAAACAUACUUAUUAAGAUGCAUAACUACAUGUCAAAACCGUGUUGCUCACUAUGUAUUUUAUGAAUUUUUUUUAUUUUAUCCUUGCUAUAAUUUUAUCUUGCUAUUAGUACUAGGAUUAUGUAUUUAAAAACAAUCCCAAGAAUUAGCCUUCCUAAAUAACAAGCAGACUCAUGUAUUUAUAGGUCUGAUAGCCUCAUUAUUGAAAUAUAGAAGAAAUAUAUUAUUCUUUCUAAAUCUGAGAUAGUAUUAGAGCCAUUCCUAAGUCAAAUUCUUUGGGAUUAUGCCACUGCUAUAGGGCUCUUGUUAGACCACCCAUAAAUAUGUAAUCCCAUGCUUGAGAUGGUCAUUGCUCAGCGUGAGGGUGUGUUGGAGAUCCCACAUUAUCUUGGUGUAAGUCCAGAUGAUAAUAUAUAAUUGGGGUGCAAUCCUAACCUUACAAGAUGGUUUUGUGAGGCAUAAACCCACUUACUAAGAUAGUAUCAGAGCUUCUGUUCUUUGGGAGUCUCUAAUCGUGUUUAUCAACCCUAAAACAUAACCUUCAUUGCUGUGCCACCUUGAAGCAGGUUACAUACUUCAUUGAUGUGCCUCUUUGAUACCUAUUGUAGCCUUUAUUGCUCCAUAUUCUUCUUAUAUGGAUGAGCUCGUGAAUUCUGAAAUGGAAACUGAGGACAAAUCGCAGACUGCUUGAGAAUUACAUAAUGUCCAUUUUGCUUACAGAUUCAAUGGAAAAAAUUGUCUAAAAUGGUUUUAACUCAUUAAGACCAUCUUAAAAGGAAAUGGUACACUUGACUUAUCAUGCACCUGAUGAAAAUGAUGUCAAGUUCAAAUCCUUGGAUGAAGAAGAUUCCAUGAUCAUGGAAUGGAUGUGGAAUUCAAUGGUUCUAGAAAUCAGUGAUACUUGCAUAUUCCUUAGAUCAACAAAAGAAAUUUGGGAGGCAAUAGAACAAACCUAUUCUAAGGCCAAGGAUGCUGCCCAAAUUUAUGAUGUAAAGGUGAAAAUUGUGGGAGCCAAACAGGGAAGCAAUGCCAAUGAAAUUAAGUCCCUAUGGAUGAAAUUGGAUCACUAUAGAGUUAUGUUAUAAAAGCAAAGUAUUCAGAAGACUCAACAAUCUUGAAAGAGUAUAUUGAACAAGAUAGAGUCUAUGAUUUUUUGGUAGGCUUGAAUCCUAAAUAUUAGUGUUUGAGUCCAAAUUUAGGAAUAAGAGAAGUUUCAAGGAAUGAAUGAAAUCUGCACUUAAAUUACAAAAUAAUUCUCCUGAUUAUGCAAUACUCCCCCUCAACUGAAGUUGGUGAAUGUAUAUCUAUCAUUCCCAACUUGCAAGUAAGAUCUUUAAAUUGUUUUGUGGGAAGUCCCUUAGUAAACAUAUUUGCCAAUUGGAGUCUUGAAGGGAUAUACUUGGUGGCUAUAAGAUCAUUAUCCAGCUUCUCAUUAAUGAAAUGUCAGUCUAUCUCUACGUGCUUGGUUUGGUCAUGUUGAACUGGAUUGUGUGCAAUACUGAUGGCGGACUUAUUAUGACACUCCAAACCCAUAGGAGCUUCAUAUUUUAUUUUGAGAUAAUCGAGUAUGAUCUUCAUCCAUAAUAGUUCACAAACCCCUUGAGCCAUGACUCUAAAUUUUGCUUUUGCACUUGAUCUUGCAACUACAUGUUGUUUCUUGCUCCUCCAUGUCACCAGAUUUCCACCCAGGAUGCUAUAAGACCAUUAUCCAGCUUCUCCUUAAUGAAAUGUCGGUCUAUCUCUACGUGCUUUGUUCGGUCAUGUUGAACUGGAUUGUGUGCAAUACUGAUGGCGGACUUAUUAUAACACUCCAAACCCAUAGGAGCUUCAUAUUUUAUUUUGAGAUAAUCGAGUAUGAUCUUCAUCCAUAAUAGUUCACAAACCCCUUGAGCCAUGGCUCUAAAUUCUGCUUCUGCACUUGAUCUUGUAACUACAUUUUGUUUCUUGCUCCUCCAUGUCACCAGAUUUCCACCCAGGAACAUGCAAUAGCAUGUGGUGGAUCUCCUAUCUACAAUUGAUCCUGCAUAUUCAGCAUCAGUAUAUAUUUUCAUGGAUAAGUUUUCGCCUUUUUAGAAUAGCAAUCCUUUCCUUGAAGAGGCUUUUAAGUACUGAAUAAUUCUAUUUACUACUUGCAAGUGUCUUUCUCUUGGAUCAUGCAUGAAUUGGCUAACCACUCUAACUGCAUAAGCUAUGUCUGGCCUAGUGUGUGAUAGAUAAAUGAGUAGAGUGAGUUUACCAUUAUGAGAAUGUUUUAUAAAUCGAGUAUGGUCACCUGGGCUUUGUUGGUACCCCAAAGAUACCACAACUUGAGUAAACCUUCCAAACCAAACACGAGGUGAUUAUUAUCUCCCUGGCAGCACACUUUGGUUGGGCGAUGCAUCAAUUUGAUGUUAUUGUUUAAGACCAUAUAGGGCCUUCUUAAGUCUGCACACCUUAUUCCCUUCAUUAACAACACCAUAACCAGGUGAAUCUCCAUGUAUACAUUUUCCUCCAAGCUUCCAUGCAAGAAGGCAUUUUUAACAUCAAAUUGAUGCAUCGCCCAACCAAAGUGUGCUGCCAGGGAGAUAAUAAUCCUGACUGUAUUCAUUUUUGCCAACUGAGCAAAAGUUUCCUCAUAAUCGAUCCCAUAGGUUUGAGUAUACUCUUUUGCAACCAACCUUGCUUUAUACCGAUCUAGUGUGUCAUCAGACUUAUACUAAACUGUGUAUAUCCACCUACAACCCACUUAUUUCUUAUCUUUUGGUCUCUCUACAGUCUCCCAAGUCUUAUUCAUUUCUAAUGCGCUCAUUUCUUCAUUCAUGGCUCGAAUCCAGUUCUUAUCUUUUAAGGCUUCUUGGAAUGAUGUAGGGAUUCUGAUAGAAUCAAUAGUCCAAAGAAAACUCCGGUGCUUCCAGUGUUAUCACUUAUCGGCCAUGGCAGAUUUCGGUGGCGGUUUUCCUGACCAUCGCCACAACAAGGUGGUGGUGAAUCGGAUUUUGCAUGGCGGCCCAUGGCGGCCGCUAUGACCAUGUCGGAGUUCUAACGGAUAUUAGAAAUAUCCAAAAUAUCGAAAAAAAGGUGACAACGCCAGCAGCGGAGCAUGAAGAAGAGCUGCGACGGCAACUGAGCAUGAAAAAGAGCUGCGGCGGCUGCGGGGAGCAUGAAGAACAAGAGCUGCUGCAGAUGAAGUAGACCUAAACCUAAACCUAGUUUUUAGGAAACAAAAGUUUGGGCCUUGACCCAUUUCAGUUUAAAAAAACCCUAAAAUUUAAAUAAAAAACCCUAAAAUUUAAAUAAAAACCCUAAAAUUUUAAUACUAAGUGUGCCGUGUGAGUGGUGUGCGGCUGGAAACCUUGGAAACCCUAAUUUAACCAUGAAAGCUGACUUUACUUUAGGGUUUUGGGCCUAUUUUGGGCCCAUGUAAAACUUAUAUAAUUAUUCUCAACAGUAAUUUUAUCUAUGCACAACCACUAUUACUUAUUAUUUCUCCCUGCCACCAACAGUUAUUUAUAUAUAUAAAUAUUAUAUUUCUUUCCAUCGCCAUGCUUCCGCCAUAACCCGUUAUGAUUUCCGUUAUAACUUUAUAAAGGGUUUUUGGGGUCUCCGAUAUGAUCCGUUAUCCGAUAUUGAUAACACUGGGUGGUGCAUAGAAAGUUUUUUGUAGACACAAGUUGACAUAUAGGAUAUUUGGCACAAGAUCUUUUUUCUUUUCUCAAGGCAAUAGGUAAAUCAUUUAGGUUAGAUUCAAAAGCAGUAUUUCAGGUGUCCUCAAGAGUCUCACAAGUAUGAGUUCUUACCUCCGGUUCAGACAAUUGAAGUUGUUGUUCGACCAAGACGGGUUGUUGUUGCCUUCACUGAUAUUGUUUUCCAAAAUAUUUGUCCUCAUUAUUCUUCUCUAGUAAUGAUGUUAGUGCAUGGUCUUUGUCAUCCUCCCUAAGAAUGAAAUCCAGCAACAAAGGAAAAGGUGUCAACUCAAGAUUCUCAGCUUCUUGAAUACUCCCCACUGAAGCUUAGAAGUACGAAAGAAAGACUCUGUUUCAUGAAAGGUGACAUCCUUGGAAACAUAGACUUUACGACUUUGAGGGUGAUAACAUUUGUACCCGUUUUGGUUGGGGGCAUAACCGAUGAAGACAUUUGAUGGUGCGAGGAUCUAACUUACCCCGAUAAGGACUAUGAACACGGACAAAAGCAGGACAAGCAAAGACACGAAUAUGAAGACUAGUCAACAUGGGAAUAGAAGGAUAGAAUGUGGUCAUAAGCUGAAUAGGAAUAACACCCUGUAGAACCCGAGAGGGUAAUCUAUUAAUCAAAUAAGUGGCAGUCAAGACUGCUUCCCCCUAAUAAGAUCUAGGAACAGAUGUUUGGAAAAGUAAAACUCUAGUAACCUUAAGGAGAUGACGAUUUUUCCUUUUAGCAACCCCGUUUUGUUGAGGAGUGUCCACACAGGUUAAUUCAUGAACAACUCCAUUUUCCUGAAGGAACUUGGAAAAGUUUUGGUUCACAUAUUCUCUUCCAUUAUCAGAAUGCAAUCUCUUAAUUGGAUUUUCAAAUUGUGUUUGAAUUAUUCUGUAAAACUUUACAAACAUGUGAAAAACUUCAGAAUUAUUUUUCACGAGGAAUAUCCAGGUAACCCGAGUACAAUCAUCAAUAAAUGAAACAAACCAUUUUGCACCCCAUACAUGUGAAUGAAUAAGAUCAAAAGGUUUAGAACUUCUAUUACCAUUGGGAAGAAAAGUUGUCCGAUGGUGUUUAGCAAACUGACAAAGAUCACAAUGAAAAGACUCAACAGACACUUUUGUAAAUAAAACAAGAAAUAAGCACUUUAGGUUACUAAAUGGAGGAUGACCAAGACGUCUGUGUUGAAGCCAUAUCUGAGAGGAUGGCCAAGAUUCACGGCCUUGCUGAAGAUUAGAAGUGUGUGCCUGUAGUCUAGCACACUUUUUAUUUUCUUCAUGCUGUAAAUAAUAUAAUCCGCCCUGCUCUUUAGCAAUUCCAAUAGUCUUCCCUAUGGCAAGAUCCUGAAAAACACAAUGGGAAUGAAAAAAUACCACUGCACAAUUUAAAUCUUGGGUAACCUUUUGAAUAGACAAGAGGUUAUUGGAUAGUUUGGGAACAUGAAGCACAUUUUUAAAGGAAAUGAAGGUUGAAGGUGAAUGUUAGCACAACCAAUAACGAGGGUAUUGGAACCAUUAGCAAUAGUAAUAUAUUGGUUACCAGAUAAAGCAGUGUAGGAUGAAAAAUAAAGGAAUGAGGUGUCAUAUGAUCAGUAGCACCAGAGUCUAUAAUCUAGAUAUUUUCUGUACUAGAAGCAUUAAAGGAUGAGAAACUAGAACUCUUACCACUCAUAGUAAAGGAACAAUAGCUAGAUGUCUUACUAAGGGAGUCCAUGAGAGUUCAAAACCAACUGAGCUUUGCAGAUUGGCAAAAUUUUAUCCUAAUCACAAAAAAAAUUCGCUGGAAAUUUUUUCCGGCGGCGGUUUCCGGUGAUCGGCGGUCGGUGGUGGCGGUCGGCAUUGGUGGUCGGCGGUCGGUGGUGGCUGUUGGCGUUGGUGGUCGGCGGUUGGUGGUGGCUGUCGGCGUUGGUGCUCGGCGACGAUCAAUGGCGGUGGCAGUAACGAUCAAUGGUGCAAGGUGGUGGUCAAUGGAGAAAAGAUAAGGAAAAAACAGUUGUAGCAAUUAUGGCUGCCCAAAAAAAUAAUUGCAGCAAUGAAGGCUGCCCAGAAAAAUAAUUGCAGCAAUGAAGGUUGCUAAAAAAAGAUUAUAGAAGCAGAGUCUCCCAGAUUAGGAGCUCUGAUACCAAGUUGAAAGAAAUAGAUGAAAUAUAUUUUUGAGAUGAUUUACAAAUGUGAUUACCGUCUCAAUUUAUAGAGUGUUUACAACCUAAUUAAAGAAAGAAAUAAUAGGUAAUGAAAGCAAGAAAUAAUGGGUGAUUAAAGCUUUACAAAUAAAAUGAAAUCAAAUCACUAACAAAUCUGUCCUAAUAAGUAGAGAAUGAAAUCUGCACUUAAUUACAUAAUAAUUCUCUUGAUUAUGCAACACAUUCUCUUGCAUGUCCAAUCGUCCUUUUGAGCUCUUGUCAUGUAAAAUACAAAAGUUGCUAUAAAAAAGAACAGUACAUGAAAGAUCUUUGAGUUUUUGUACCUAAAUCAUAUUAGGGGACAAUCUAGGGACAUGAAGGACAAUUUUUAAGGUUAUGGAUUGACUUAUUUGUACCUCUCCUUGUCCUCCUCCUAUGAGAUUUCCAUCUAUUGUGGAAAUUUUCUUGCUGCUAGGAUAUGGAGAAUAUGUGGAGAAGUAUUUGGGGUGGUGGGUUCAUAUGGUUAGUGGCUCCAGAGUUUAGUAUCCAAUAGUGAGAAAAAGGUGUAUCUGAAGUAUUAAGACAAAAAAUAAAAUAAAAUGGAAACUUACUAGAAUGUAAGCGAGAAUGUACUGUGGACUGGACAUUCUGCAAUUCUCCAACAGUUUGGAAUCCGUCCUUAGUUUCCAUUCCAGAAAUCACAAUGUCAUCCAUAUAUAGGUGGAUUAUGCAUCAAUAAAGGUUGGAAUAGUGAUCAGAGUGGCGCAUCAAAGAAAGCUAGAAUAUGUUCUUGGGGGUAAACAAUGAAGGAUGCGAUUUAGGGAUGUAGACAAGGUCAGAGCCUCCCAAAGAUAGGAGCUCUAAUACCAUCUCAAAUUAGAACAAAUAGUAUAUUUGUUUUGUAUUUCAAUAAUGAGGCCAUUGGAUCAGUAAAUACACGAGCAUGUUGGUUUUAGGAAAUAUAGAUAGCUAAUUCUAAGGAAACAAACACUUGUAAACGUGGGAUCGUUUUUAAAUACAUAAUCCUAGUAUUAAUAGGAAGAUACACCUGCAAUAAAGAAUUAAAUUAUAACAAGGAUAAAAUACAAAACUUCCUAAGGAUUUGACUAGCAUGGACAACAUGAAGUUAUUGAGGAAGCUUAGCCAUUUGCUUUCUUAAGGAUUCACCUUGUUAUCAUAGAAUCUUGUUCUGUGCUAGAAUGACAUCUUGAGUGCUGGAUCAAGCAAACCUUUCUUUUGAUCAAAUUGUUUGUUGUGUCCAUUUUGAUAAUUUGUAGAAGCAAAAGCGUAUUCAUCAUAGUUUUGCCAGUUGUUGCAUCUACUAUAUUUUUGUUUGAGGUUUCAAUCCAUGAUUUGAGCUACAUCUUCAAAGCCAUGACUUGGGCAUUUUCCGAGUAAUGUUUUAAACUACUCCCAUGUCUCACGUAAUGGUUUAUUUUCUCCUUGCUUGAAAGUAGAAAUUUCAGAUUUAGCACUUAUGUACCUGGAUGGUGGGACAAAUUGAUUCCAAAAUUUCUCUUCUACAACACUCUAGCAGGUGAAACGUUGAUUUAGAUGAGAUUGUAGCCAAGACCGAGCUUUCCUUGCUAGAGAUAAUGAAAGAGCAAAGAUAAAAAAAUUCAUCUCCUUCUGGAAUACCCAUAGUGCCACACAAUUCAAAGAAUGUAGACAAAUGAGUGUAGGAGUCUUCAUGAUCCAUUCCUAUGAAUUGAUGUGUGGAUAUCAAACUUAAGAAAGUUGGCUUCACCUCCAUUGCCUUGGUUGUGGGUGGAGCUAGUAUACUGGAAAAUUAUCUAGGCCCUUUUUUCAUAGCAUAGUACCCUAGAGUCCUUUUGGGUUGAUUUGGUUGACCUUGAUGUGGAUCCAUUUCAGCUAUGGUAUUAGAAAAUAUGGGUUGAUGGUGAGAAGAUUGAUCUUGCUGCUCUUUCUAUUGUGCUUCUCUUUCUUCCUUUUUUUCCUGGCUGUUUUUUAAUCUUUAGAUCAAAUUGUAAUUAAUAUGUAGGUGGCUCAAUUGCAUACGUGACUCACAAAAGCAAACAGAUUAGUCGAAAAUAUGAAAAAAGAAUACAACUACAUAUAAACAAAAAGGUCACUAGUUAUAGGUUGAACUUAUGAAGAAAAUAGUUUAGGACACAAGUCGCGGACAAUGGCACUAGAAAACUUAUUGGUUUAUUUUGGCAAGUGCACCAAUUUAACUGAAGUUGACAAUAAGGGUUAAGGUUGUCGAACCACAUGGACUUGGCAAUGUAUCUAUCUUUAUCACAAGUUUAAUUCUUGUCAAUUAUAUUUAUAAUAGGAAAUUCAUUUUAUUCCAUUUGUGUGAAUUGAAAUUUACAAUGGUUCAAAUAUUCAAGUUAAAGGUUGUUUGAAUGACAUUUAAAAUUUAGUAGAUAGAAAGCGGUGAUUGGACUUUAUUCACCUCAUCCAUAUUCCAGUCAUCAAUAUCAAUAUACAACAUUUUUCCAUUGAUAUAAGUGCACAUUCUAAAAUUUCUUUAAUUGAUUUCUCAAAUAUAAUUAGUCUAAGAAUGAUUUUUGAAUUUUGAUUCCUCGAACAUACAACAAACAUUCGAGCAUUUACGAUUGAAUGUUAGACUAUAUUGAAAUCUAUUCCUAGUUUUUGAAUGUUUCAACAAAUCUCAUUGAUUUUAGAGUUUAAGAACUGCUUUAUAACCUGAACUUAGAUUUUAAAUCUUAAAACUAUGAAUAAGAUAAAUUUAAGCAUUAAACACAAUGAAAUGAACAAUAUAUAUAAAAUGGAAAUGAACAAUAUAUAUAAUAUGGAAAUGAACAAUUUGAUAUAUUAUAUAUAUAUAUAUAUAUAUCACUAGAAUAUUUCAAAGAUGAAGAUUACAUCCAAUCCUAAACGGGGAGGUCUAACUGCUCAUGGCACAAUUACAAAUUAGAAAAUCUAAGGGAACCUAAGAAGGGAGCAGUUCCUUACACAAAUCCAAGCUUUCCUUUCUCUAUCCUCAGAUCCUUUCCCCUCUCUACCUUUCAUUCUAUAGUCAUUCAACGGUAUGUGUUGGAAUCCCGCAUCGACUAGAGAUAAGGACAUUUCAUAGUAUACAAGUGAAUGCAAAUUUCAUCUUAUAAGUCAGUUUUAUAAGGUUGAGUUGGGUUUAAAGUAUACUUCUUAAGAGUAUGUUUGCAAAUUAAUGAAUUUUCGCUGAAGUGAGAUAGGUACUGUAAGAUGAAAAAGGUAUUUUGCUUAAGUGAGAAUGUUUUACUCAGGUAAAAGUAAUGCAAAAACAACACUUCUUUUUUAGCCAAUUUUGCUCAAGCGAGAAAGUGUUGCUCAAGGGAAAAUUGUUUUGCACCAAUGCUUUCUUAGUGGAGACCCUCUCAAGCAAGAUUAGGGAUGCUUUUCCUUCAUGGUUGCUUGAAUUAUCUUCUUUGACUUACUUUGUUUUCCCACUUGUUUUAAUCAUGUUAAAUUUCCAUUGGUAUGUUUAAUAUUUCUGUCGUUUCUGGAGCCAAAUCCUGCAUAAAGAUUUGCACAAAAUUUUGUUUUAAGUCGGGAUUAAUUAUACUAGAACUUUAAAACAUAUAAUAAGUAGGUGUCCUCUUAAGGUUCUGUGUUUGUAAUGAAUUUUGGCACUUAUCAGUUACUUUGACAAUUUUUUCUGCAUUAUUGUCAUUUUGUUAUGUUAACUCAGCAUAUUUUACCCGGCAAAAGGGCUGGCUGUUUAAUGUUUAUCAGAUAUCCUUUGCUUCUUGAUAUUGUUGUUUUACUUGCUUAAGAGUUUCAGUAUUUUUAAUGAACUAAUAGUGGUGAAUUUAGUCAUGUCAUGUAAACAUGUAUAUUUUUUUGUUGCUUCCUAGCUGCAUGAUUAUUUAUCAUUGUUGUUUGAUAUCUUGUUUGUUCACAUACAAAGGCUGUAUUAUCAUAAAAAUUGUUAACUUGUGCAUGCUUUUGAAUUUUGCUUCAGUCUUGUUUUCCCCUAAUUCACCAAAUGUAAAGCUGAAUACAAGGUUUACCAUAUUCUCAUUCAAAUACAAAAUCACCGUGCAAUUCUAUUUUUGUUUAUUUUGAUGUUUGUUAUGGAUAUGGACAGAUGGGACUGGGGAAGACUUUGCAAGCUAUCUCCUUUUUAAGCUAUUUAAAAGUGUGCCGGUUGUCUGAUGGGCCAUUUU
This 11989-nucleotide long non-coding RNA is filed under the name Phaseolus vulgaris (common bean). RNAcentral describes it as "long non-coding RNA (PVUL_LNC001603)". Lineage: Eukaryota; Viridiplantae; Streptophyta; Magnoliopsida; Fabales; Fabaceae. The record is from RNAcentral.